UAGGGAAUCUUCGGCAAUGGGGGCAACCCUGACCGAGCAACGCCGCGUGAGUGAAGAAGGUUUUCGGAUCGUAAAGCUCUGUUGUAAGUCAAGAACGGGUGUGAGAGUGGAAAGUUCACACUGUGACGGUAGCUUACCAGAAAGGGACGGCUAACUACGUGCCAGCAGCCGCGGUAAUACGUAGGUCCCGAGCGUUGUCCGGAUUUAUUGGGCGUAAAGCGAGCGCAGGCGGUUUGAUAAGUCUGAAGUUAAAGGCUGUGGCUCAACCAUAGUUCGCUUUGGAAACUGUCAAACUUGAGUGCAGAAGGGGAGAGUGGAAUUCCAUGUGUAGCGGUGAAAUGCGUAGAUAUAUGGAGGAACACCGGUGGCGAAAGCGGCUCUCUGGUCUGUAACUGACGCUGAGGCUCGAAAGCGUGGGGAGCGAACAGGAUUAGAUACCCUGGUAGUCCACGCCGUAAACGAUGAGUGCUAGGUGUUGGAUCCUUUCCGGGAUUCAGUGCCGCAGCUAACGCAUUAAGCACUCCGCCUGGGGAGU
This 535-nucleotide ribosomal RNA is filed under the name uncultured bacterium. RNAcentral describes it as "partial 16S ribosomal RNA". It matches the Rfam family "Bacterial small subunit ribosomal RNA", at positions 355 to 881 of the family's 1533-position model. The record is from RNAcentral.